RNAcentral lists this ribosomal RNA (230 nucleotides) under uncultured bacterium. RNAcentral's name for it is "partial 16S ribosomal RNA". It matches the Rfam family "Bacterial small subunit ribosomal RNA", at positions 562 to 791 of the family's 1533-position model. The record is from RNAcentral.
AAAGCGUGCGCAGGCGGUUCGGAAAGAAGGAUGUGAAAUCCCAGGGCUUAACCUUGGAACUGCAUUCUUAACUACCGGGCUAGAGUAUGUCAGAGGGGGGUGGAAUUCCGCGUGUAGCAGUGAAAUGCGUAGAUAUGCGGAGGAACACCGAUGGCGAAGGCAGCCCCCUGGACUAAUACUGACGCUCAUGCACGAAAGCGUGGGGAGCAAACAGGAUUAGAUACCCGAGU